This 107-nucleotide small nuclear RNA is filed under the name Dasypus novemcinctus (nine-banded armadillo). The record is from RNAcentral. Lineage: Eukaryota; Metazoa; Chordata; Mammalia; Cingulata; Dasypodidae.
GUGCUUGCUUCAGCAGCACAUAUACUAAAACUGGAACAAUACAGAUAAGAUUAUCAUGGUCCCUGUGCAAGGACGACAUGCAAAUUUGUGAAGUUUAAUGACAUUGC